Molecule: ribosomal RNA, 253 nt
Filed under: uncultured bacterium
Lineage: Bacteria
Description: partial 16S ribosomal RNA
Rfam family: Bacterial small subunit ribosomal RNA
Source: RNAcentral
UACGUAGGGCGCAAGCGUUGUCCGGAAUUAUUGGGCGUAAAGAGCUCGUAGGCGGCUUGUCACGUCUGCUGUGAAAUCCCGGGGCUUAACCCCUGGCUUGCAGUGGAUACGGACAGACUAGAGGUAGGUAGGGGAGAAUGGAAUUCCCGGUGUAGCGGUGAAAUGCGCAGAUAUCGGGAGGAACACCGGUGGCGAAGGCGGUUCUCUGGGCCUUACCUGACGCUGAGGAGCGAAAGCGUGGGGAGCGAACAGG